GGGGGAUUGGUAAUAGGUGGAUGUUACGCUAAAUCGGUCAGGUUCGAAAGAAAGCAGCCGCACCGUAAAUUUUUCAGGUUGUUAUUCAGUUCCCCGCU
This 98-nucleotide signal recognition particle RNA is filed under the name Candidatus Pelagibacteraceae bacterium. RNAcentral's name for it is "signal recognition particle sRNA small type". It matches the Rfam family "Bacterial small signal recognition particle RNA". Rfam says of the family: The signal recognition particle (SRP) is a universally conserved ribonucleoprotein involved in the co-translational targeting of proteins to membranes. Archaeal SRP consists of a 7S RNA and homologues of the eukaryotic SRP19 and SRP54 proteins. The record is from RNAcentral. Lineage: Bacteria; Pseudomonadati; Pseudomonadota; Alphaproteobacteria; Candidatus Pelagibacterales; Candidatus Pelagibacteraceae.